RNAcentral lists this ribosomal RNA (163 nucleotides) under uncultured bacterium. RNAcentral describes it as "partial 16S rRNA". It matches the Rfam family "Bacterial small subunit ribosomal RNA", at positions 355 to 511 of the family's 1533-position model. The record is from RNAcentral.
UAGGGAAUCUUCCACAAUGGGCGCAAGCCUGAUGGAGCAACACCGCGUGAGUGAAGAAGGGUUUCGGCUCGUAAAGCUCUGUUGUUAAAGAAGAACACGUAUGAGAGUAACUGUUCAUACGUUGACGGUAUUUAACCAGAAAGUCACGGCUAACUACGUCCAG